GUUUGAUCAUGGCUCAGGACGAACGCUGGCGGCGUGCCUAAUACAUGCAAGUCGAGCGGACAGAUGGGAGCUUGCUCCCUGAUGUUAGCGGCGGACGGGUGAGUAACACGUGGGUAACCUGCCUGUAAGACUGGGAUAACUCCGGGAAACCGGGGCUAAUACCGGAUGGUUGUCUGAACCGCAUGGUUCAGACAUAAAAGGUGGCUUCGGCUACCACUUACAGAUGGACCCGCGGCGCAUUAGCUAGUUGGUGAGGUAACGGCUCACCAAGGCGACGAUGCGUAGCCGACCUGAGAGGGUGAUCGGCCACACUGGGACUGAGACACGGCCCAGACUCCUACGGGAGGCAGCAGUAGGGAAUCUUCCGCAAUGGACGAAAGUCUGACGGAGCAACGCCGCGUGAGUGAUGAAGGUUUUCGGAUCGUAAAGCUCUGUUGUUAGGGAAGAACAAGUGCCGUUCAAAUAGGGCGGCACCUUGACGGUACCUAACCAGAAAGCCACGGCUAACUACGUGCCAGCAGCCGCGGUAAUACGUAGGUGGCAAGCGUUGUCCGGAAUUAUUGGGCGUAAAGGGCUCGCAGGCGGUUUCUUAAGUCUGAUGUGAAAGCCCCCGGCUCAACCGGGGAGGGUCAUUGGAAACUGGGGAACUUGAGUGCAGAAGAGGAGAGUGGAAUUCCACGUGUAGCGGUGAAAUGCGUGAGAUGUGGAGGAACACCAGUGGCGAAGGCGACUCUCUGGUCUUAACUGACGCU
Molecule: ribosomal RNA, 752 nt
Filed under: Bacillus sp. SMCC B0662
Lineage: Bacteria; Bacillati; Bacillota; Bacilli; Caryophanales; Bacillaceae
Description: bacterial SSU rRNA
Rfam family: Bacterial small subunit ribosomal RNA
Source: RNAcentral